GUUUGAUCCUGGCUCAGGACGAACGCUGGCGGCGUGCCUAAUACAUGCAAGUAGAACGCUGAAGUCUGGUGCUUGCACUAGACGGAUGAGUUGCGAACGGGUGAGUAACGCGUAGGUAACCUGCCUCAUAGCGGGGGAUAAYUAUUGGAAACGAUAGCUAAUACCGCAUAACAGUAUUUACUGCAUGGUAGAUACUUGAAAGGAGCAAUUGCUUCACUAUGAGAUGGACCUGCGUUGUAUUAGCUAGUUGGUGAGGUAACGGCUCACCAAGGCAUCGAUACAUAGCCGACCUGAGAGGGUGAUCGGCCACACUGGGACUGAGACACGGCCCAGACUCCUACGGGAGGCAGCAGUAGGGAAUCUUCGGCAAUGGGGGCAACCCUGACCGAGCAACGCCGCGUGAGUGAAGAAGGUUUUCGGAUCGUAAAGCUCUGUUGUAAGAGAAGAACUGUGAGAAGAGUGGAAAGUUUCUCACUUGACGGUAUCUUACCAGAAAGGGACGGCUAACUACGUGCCAGCAGCCGCGGUAAUACGUAGGUCCCGAGCGUUGUCCGGAUUUAUUGGGCGUAAAGCGAGCGCAGGCGGUUUGAUAAGUCUGAAGUAAAAGGCUGUGGCUUAACCAUAGUACGCUUUGGAAACUGUCAAACUUGAGUGCAGAAGGGGAGAGUGGAAUUCCAUGUGUAGCGGUGAAAUGCGUAGAUAUAUGGAGGAACACCGGUGGCGAAAGCGGCUCUCUGGUCUGUAACUGACGCUGAGGCUCGAAAGCGUGGGGAGCGAACAGGAUUAGAUACCCUGGUAGUCCACGCCGUAAACGAUGAGUGCUAGGUGUUGGGUCCUUUCCGGGACUCAGUGCCGCAGCUAACGCAUUAAGCACUCCGCCUGGGGAGUACGACCGCAAGGUUGAAACUCAAAGGAAUUGACGGGGGCCCGCACAAGCGGUGGAGCAUGUGGUUUAAUUCGAAGCAACGCGAAGAACCUUACCAGGUCUUGACAUCCCGAUGACCGCCCUAGAGAUAGGGUUUCUCUUCGGAGCAUCGGUGACAGGUGGUGCAUGGUUGUCGUCAGCUCGUGUCGUGAGAUGUUGGGUUAAGUCCCGCAACGAGCGCAACCCCUAUUGUUAGUUGCCAUCAUUCAGUUGGGCACUCUAGCGAGACUGCCGGUAAUAAACCGGAGGAAGGUGGGGAUGACGUCAAAUCAUCAUGCCCCUUAUGACCUGGGCUACACACGUGCUACAAUGGCUGGUACAACGAGUCGCAAGUCGGUGACGGCAAGCUAAUCUCUUAAAGCCAGUCUCAGUUCGGAUUGUAGGCUGCAACUCGCCUACAUGAAGUCGGAAUCGCUAGUAAUCGCGGAUCAGCACGCCGCGGUGAAUACGUUCCCGGGCCUUGUACACACCGCCCGUCACACCACGAGAGUUUGUAACACCCGAAGUCGGUGAGGUAACCUUUUAGGAGCCAGCCGCCUAAGGUGGGAUAGAUGAUUGGGGUGAAGUCGUAACAAGGUAGCCGUAUCGGAAGGKGCGGCUGGAUCACCUCCUUUCUA
This 1542-nucleotide ribosomal RNA is filed under the name Streptococcus suis TL13. RNAcentral's name for it is "bacterial SSU rRNA". It matches the Rfam family "Bacterial small subunit ribosomal RNA". Lineage: Bacteria; Bacillati; Bacillota; Bacilli; Lactobacillales; Streptococcaceae. The record is from RNAcentral.